AUUGUUUCUGACGAUAGUUGACGAAGUAGAUGAGGUGCUUAGAGUUGGACCAGAAGUUUGAGAACACCUCGAAGACUUUGCUGAGCCAGGCAAGCAGGCCUUUUACCAUGACUGUGAAACCAUUUUUAUGCAUGUCAUAUGCCACUUUGUUACAUUGCAUCUGAAUCAUGAUGAAUCGUUGACCACCUUGGUUGGUUGUCUCCGAUGUUUCCUAGUUGAUACUUGCACUAAGAAUGACCCUCCCUUUCUGUGAGGGUUCUGUGGGUUGGAAGUAGUUAGGAUGCUAGUAGUUGCUAUGCUAAUGGGAUGGGAAAAUGCACGGUGUCGGAAAAUAAAUGAUUUCGAAAACUUUUCAGAAACCCCGUCGGGUGCAACUAAUGCCCGAGGAAGAUGGUGUUUAGUUAGGUAACCACUUGAGGAAUAAGU
RNAcentral lists this long non-coding RNA (426 nucleotides) under Hordeum vulgare. RNAcentral's name for it is "long non-coding RNA (HVUL_LNC019022)". The record is from RNAcentral. Lineage: Eukaryota; Viridiplantae; Streptophyta; Magnoliopsida; Poales; Poaceae.